ACAGCUCAAAUUUGAAAUCUGGCCCUUUCAGGGUCCGAGUUGUAAUUUGUAGAAGCAGCUUUGGGUGUGGCACCGGUCUAAGUUCCUUGGAACAGGACGUCAUAGAGGGUGAGAAUCCCGUAUGUGACUGGGUGCUUUCGCUCAUGUGAAGCUCUUUCGACGAGUCGAGUUGUUUGGGAAUGCAGCUCAAAAUGGGUGGUAAACUUCAUCUAAAGCUAAAUAUUGGCCAGAGACCGAUA
This 239-nucleotide ribosomal RNA is filed under the name Lachnaceae sp. RNAcentral's name for it is "partial large subunit ribosomal RNA". It matches the Rfam family "Eukaryotic large subunit ribosomal RNA", at positions 104 to 339 of the family's 3401-position model. Lineage: Eukaryota; Fungi; Ascomycota; Leotiomycetes; Helotiales; Lachnaceae. The record is from RNAcentral.